UAAAGUUUUACAAAAUGAACUGUAGAAUACCAAAAAUAAAGGGCUUUGAAACAUCAAAAUUGGGAACAAUUAGGUGCUGUAGCAGCCAGCAGGCAAGGAAAUCUGGGUGAAUGUGAAUCACCACUACUACAGUGGGGUCCUGGAUUCAUGAACCAGCCCCUCAAGACUGCAGAAUCCAGAGCUGGUGACCAGGAUUACCAGUGGCUCACGUGGGUCCAGAUGGUCAGUGACACAACCUGGAUUACAGAAUUAGCAGCAGAAAGUAUUGUGUUACUAACUUCCACAUUAACUCAACACCUUACAGAUUUGGUAGCAGAGGAAUUUAGGGAAUGGAUCAGAUUGGUGAUCUCUGUUUUGUAAUCUUGCAUUCUCAUGGCUUUAGGGUGGGACUGUUACUCAGAGGGCUUUAGUUGUGCUGAGACUUUUUUUUUUGCUCUCCUGCCUCAUACAACCUCUUCCCUCUCACUUCUGUGCAGGAGAGAAUUCCCAUUUCACUGGACACUUAAUGAUCACUUUCGUUGCUCUUGGAGGGUGGCAGAGGAAAGAAGAACUUGGAUAACUCACAAUAAAGAAACCCACAUGAACUGUAUUUAUUUUUAAAUAAUACUCACCUUAUGCUCUUA
This is a long non-coding RNA of Agelaius phoeniceus (red-winged blackbird), 623 nucleotides long. RefSeq lists it as uncharacterized. The record is from RefSeq and is a predicted model, not a curated record. NCBI's taxonomy places the organism in Eukaryota, Metazoa, Chordata, Aves, Passeriformes, Icteridae.